UUCAUAGAAAAGGUCCCAGGUCACUCACCUCUUAUUGCUGGACCCAGUUUUGAGAUUCCCUCCUCAUCGACUCUGAUACUAUAAUAUGUAGUCAGUUCAUCAUUAAGGCUCUCCAUCUCUUUCACGGAAACGGGGAGGGCAAGGGUCGGGUUGCAUUCUGUCCUCUGCACGCCUGUCUGGCUGGCGUUUGUAAGACACCCGUGUAAUGGGCAGUGGACUAGCAAAUGACACGCAGUAAACCUUUUCAUCAAACAGUCCACAUCAACUAGAUUGUCCACUAGAAAUAGGGUAUAGAAAUUAAGUAUGUUUUCUAAAUAUUUAAAAGUCUGCUUUUUGAUGGACUCCCAGAAGUCUACGAUUUGCUAUUGAUUAAGGGUUCUAAGAAUUAGCUGUUCUUACACUCACACACACACACACACAGGCGCUGACAGGAGCAGAUCUCUUGAAGGUCAUGUUAAGUUCUAGUGUGUGGACACCAAAGCGGGAUUUGUGCCAAAUGAAAUUCUGCACUGUAGAUGCCACAUUUUCAGAAGUCAUUCAUACAUAAUUAUAUAAAGAGCCUCAAUUUUCCAUGUGUAGCUUAUGUGAGAAUUUUCUGUCAACUUCUUAAAGGAACAGUUAACAUAAGAACGAAAAUUCUGUUGUUACUGUUGUUUUAAAGCUUGUAUGACGUUCGUGGGUGGAAAAUUCAGAACUGCAGGCCUACUUUAAAUACAAUGAGAACAGACGGAAGAUUUCGAGCUUCAGAGAGAUCGCAAAAGCACCAUGAAGGUCUGGGAUUGUGGCCUAGGCCUACAACUCGUGCACUAUAUUCAAAUCCUUAUAAAGGUAUGCGAUAUCUUACCGAAAUUCAAGUUGUUGUUCAGGGUUCAAGAUAACGAGCAAAUCCUUUUUAUGUUUCGGUUAUGUCGAUUCAUUCCCGAAUCGAUCUGAUUCGUGGGUUCAACUCACUGAUUCACUUGGUCACAGCAGUUACUGCGUUCACUGAGUUAACUGGAGGGAAAUUUAUAUUUGAAUAACAGCUUAAAUUUCGACAUGUUCUUCGCACACAAAGACUUGUAUCAGAGGAAUUUAGUGCACGAGGUCAUAUGAACCGCAUUCAUGAUACGUUUGACAGUAAGUUUCCAGCCAUGAGUUUGGAAAGACAUGAAGGUGUCGGUGCAGUUUAAUAGACAGACACCACGCCACUGCUCCAUCGCAAUUAGGAGGAGGUUGCGUGAAUGGGUGUGAUUAAGAAGAUGGAAGAUUAUGACCCCUCCGAGUGGGCAUACAGAGCCGGGGACUGUGUGCACAACUGCUGAUGGGGAGAAGGAAGCUGUGGAAUGAAAUUGAGAUAAAGCUGGAUGGACAAGAUGCUUAGAGCAGAGAAACAGGGGAGGAGACUAGUCUCCUUCGAAGGAAACGCUUCUCUUCACACAUUUUUAGUUUCAUAAUAGGGGUCAGUGAGUGCAGAAGAGUUGGAUUACAUUAGCGCCGCAUUAUGGGCCAAGCUUUUGCAGCACACAUACAUGUGAGCAAUACAAAUUAAAAAUAGGUGAAUAGCGCAAAUUGCUUUCAGAUAAUAAAAUGGUUCAACCUGUUAUUAUGACGUCACAGGGGAGUCAAGAGAACAUUUAGGCACAUCUGAUGUUUCUGGGUAUUAGUGUUCAUUUUAAUGAAAUAGCAUGUUAAUGGAAGGCUGCAGAAUAUUGAAAAAGUGUCAGCACACAGAGAAUACUGUGUGGACAAUGAACUGUGUUAUGAAAUGAAAAUGCAUGUAGAAAAUGUUGCACUUUUACACACAAACCCACUGAUUUCUGCUCCUUGCUUUUCAUGGAAUUCCAGAGAAGCAUCCAUAUUUUAGCUAGUUGUUUUUGUGUAUUUUCCUGUAAAAUUUGCCAAGGAGGUCUAUAUAAUACCUGUAGAAAGCUAUUGAUUAGCAUUUCCAUUCAUCUCAAUGGGACCUGUUCAGCACAGGACCAUUGGUAUUUGGUAUUCACCAAAUAUUAAGAUGUGC
Cyprinus carpio carpio is the source of this 1996-nucleotide long non-coding RNA. NCBI's taxonomy places the organism in Eukaryota, Metazoa, Chordata, Actinopteri, Cypriniformes, Cyprinidae. The record is from Ensembl.